Molecule: ribosomal RNA, 268 nt
Filed under: uncultured bacterium
Lineage: Bacteria
Description: partial 16S ribosomal RNA
Source: RNAcentral
CUGCUGCCUUCCGUAGGAGUCUGGUCCGUGUCUCAGUACCAGUGUGGGGGACCUUCCUCUCAGAACCCCUACGCAUCGUCGCCUCGGUGGGCCGUUACCCCGCCGACUAGCUAAUGCGCCGCAUGCCCAUCCCCCGCCGGAAUCGCUUCCUUUGGCCGCAGACCCAUGCAGGUCCGCGGCGUUACGCGGUAUUAGUCGGGAUUUCUCCCGGUUAUCCCCUGCGGGGGCAGGUCGCAUACGUGUUACUCACCGUGCGCCGGUCGCCGGC